CCGGCGAUUUCCGAAUGGGGAAACCCAGUGUGUUUCGACACACUAUCAUUAACUGAAUCCAUAGGUUAAUGAGGCGAACCGGGGGAACUGAAACAUCUAAGUACCCCGAGGAAAAGAAAUCAACCGAGAUUCCCCCAGUAGCGGCGAGCGAACGGGGAGGAGCCCAGAGCCUGAAUCAGUGUGUGUGUUAGUGGAAGCGUCUGGAAAGGCGCGCGAUACAGGGUGACAGCCCCGUACACAAAAAUGCACAUACUGUGAGCUCGAUGAGUAGGGCGGGACACGUGGUAUCCUGUCUGAAUAUGGGGGGACCAUCCUCCAAGGCUAAAUACUCCUGACUGACCGAUAGUGAACCAGUACCGUGAGGGAAAGGCGAAAAGAACCCCGGCGAGGGGAGUGAAAAAGAACCUGAAACCGUGUACGUACAAGCAGUGGGAGCCUC
This 439-nucleotide ribosomal RNA is filed under the name Escherichia coli. Its description in RNAcentral is "partial 23S ribosomal RNA". It matches the Rfam family "Bacterial large subunit ribosomal RNA", at positions 104 to 583 of the family's 2925-position model. Lineage: Bacteria; Pseudomonadati; Pseudomonadota; Gammaproteobacteria; Enterobacterales; Enterobacteriaceae. The record is from RNAcentral.